CGAGCGGUAGGAGUCCUUCGGGACUUUGAGAGCGGCGUACGGGUGCGUAACACGUGUGCAACCUACCUUUAUCUGGGGAAUAGCCUUUCGAAAGGAAGAUUAACACCCCAUAAUAUAAUGAUUGGCAUCAAUUAUUAUUGAAAACUCCGGUUGAUAGAGAUGGGCACGCGCAAGAUUAGAUAGUUGGUGAGGUAACGGCUCACCAAGUCUGUGAUCUUUAGGGGUCCUGAGAGGGAGAUCCCCCACACUGGUACUGAGACACGGACCAGACUCCUACGGGAGGCAGCAGUGAGGAAUAUUGGACAAUGGGUGAAAGCCUGAUCCAGCCAUCCCGCGUGAGGGAUGACGGUCCUAUGGAUUGUAAACUUCUUUUGUACAGGAAUAAACCUACUCUCGUGAGAGUAGCUGAAGGUACUGUACGAAUAAGCACCGGCUAACUCCGUGCCAGCAGCCGCGGUAAUACGGAGGGUGCAAGCGCUAUCCGGAUUUAUUGGGUUUAAAGGGUCCGUAGGCGGGCCUGUAAGUCAGUGGUGAAAUCUCAUAGCUUAACUAUGAAACUGCCAUUGAUACUGCAGGUCUUGAGUAAAUUUGAAGUGGCUGGAAUAAGUAGUGUAGCGGUGAAAUGCAUAGAUAUUACUUAGAACACCAAUUGCGAAGGCAGGUCACUAAGAUUUAACUGACGCUGAUGGACGAAAGCGUGGGUAGCGAACAGGAUUAGAUACCCUGGUAGUCCACGCCGUAAACGAUGCUAACUCGUUUUUGGAUCUUCGGAUUCAGAGACCAAGCGAAAGUGAUAAGUUAGCCACCUGGGGAGUACGUUCGCAAGAAUGAAACUCAAAGGAAUUGACGGGGGCCCGCACAAGCGGUGGAUUAUGUGGUUUAAUUCGAUGAUACGCGAGGAACCUUACCAAGACUUAAAUGGGAAAUGACAGGUUUGGAAACAGACCCUUCUUCGGACAUUUUUCAAGGUGCUGCAUGGUUGUCGUCAGCUCGUGCCGUGAGGUGUUAGGUUAAGUCCUGCAACGAGCGCAA
Molecule: ribosomal RNA, 1032 nt
Filed under: uncultured Chryseobacterium sp.
Lineage: Bacteria; Pseudomonadati; Bacteroidota; Flavobacteriia; Flavobacteriales; Weeksellaceae
Description: bacterial SSU rRNA
Rfam family: Bacterial small subunit ribosomal RNA
Source: RNAcentral